Molecule: ribosomal RNA, 380 nt
Filed under: uncultured archaeon
Lineage: Archaea
Description: bacterial SSU rRNA
Rfam family: Archaeal small subunit ribosomal RNA
Source: RNAcentral
UAAUACCUGAGGCUCAAGUGAUGGCCACUAUUAUUGGGUCUAAAGCGCCCGUAGCCGGUUCGGUAAGUUCCUGGUGAAAUCCUCCAGCAAACUGGAGGGCGUGCUGGGAAUACUACUGGACUUGAGACCGGGAGAGGAUGGGGGUACUUUUGGGGUAGGGGUUAAAUCCUGUAAUCCCAAAGGGACCACCUGUGGCGAAGGCGCCCAUCUGGAACGGGUCUGACGGUGAGGGACGAAAGCGUGGGUAGCGACCGGGAUUAGAUACCCCGUUAGUCCACGCCGUAAACGAUGCCCGCUCGGUGCCGCAAGCUUCUUGGGAGCUUGCGGUGCCGUAGUGUAGAUGUUAAGCGGGCCACCUGGGGAGUACGUCCGCAAGGAUG